This 465-nucleotide ribosomal RNA is filed under the name Vreelandella stevensii. RNAcentral describes it as "partial 16S ribosomal RNA". It matches the Rfam family "Bacterial small subunit ribosomal RNA", at positions 338 to 795 of the family's 1533-position model. The record is from RNAcentral. Lineage: Bacteria; Pseudomonadati; Pseudomonadota; Gammaproteobacteria; Oceanospirillales; Halomonadaceae.
CCUACGGGCGGCAGCAGUGGGGAAUAUUGGACAAUGGGCGAAAGCCUGAUCCAGCCAUGCCGCGUGUGUGAAGAAGGCCUUCGGGUUGUAAAGCACUUUCAGUGGGGAAGAAAGCCUUGGGGCUAAUACCCUCGAGGAAGGACAUCACCCACAGAAGAAGCACCGGCUAACUCCGUGCCAGCAGCCGCGGUAAUACGGAGGGUGCGAGCGUUAAUCGGAAUUACUGGGCGUAAAGCGCGCGUAGGCGGUCUGAUAAGCCGGUUGUGAAAGCCCCGGGCUCAACCUGGGAACGGCAUCCGGAACUGUCAGGCUAGAGUGCAGGAGAGGAAGGUAGAAUUCCAGGUGUAGCGGUGAAAUGCGUAGAGAUCGGGAGGAAUACCAGUGGCGAAGGCGGCCUUCUGGACUGACACUGACGCUGAGGUGCGAAAGCGUGGGUAGCAAACAGGAUUAGAUACCCGGGUAGUC